AUACGUAGGGGGCGAGCGUUGUCCGGAAUGAUUGGGCGUAAAGGGCGCGUAGGCGGCCCGGUAAGUCUGGAGUGAAAGUCCUGUUUUUAAGAUGGGAAUUGCUUUGGAUACUGUCGGGCUUGAGUGCAGGAGAGGUAAGUGGAACUCCCAGUAUAGCGGUGAAAUGCGUAGAGAUCGGGAGGAACACCAGUGGCGAAGGCGACUUACUGGACUGUAACUGACGCUGAGGCGCGAAAGUGUGGGGAGCAAACAGGAUUAGAUACCCUGGUAGUCCACACUGUAAACGAUGAAUGCUAGGUGUAGGGGGUAUCGACCCCUUCUGUGCCGCAGUCAACACAAUAAGCAUUCCGCCUGGGGAGUACGGCCGCAAGGUUGAAACUUAAAAGAAUUGACGGGG
RNAcentral lists this ribosomal RNA (397 nucleotides) under uncultured bacterium. Its description in RNAcentral is "partial 16S ribosomal RNA". It matches the Rfam family "Bacterial small subunit ribosomal RNA", at positions 523 to 918 of the family's 1533-position model. The record is from RNAcentral.